Molecule: long non-coding RNA, 2103 nt
Filed under: Homo sapiens (human)
Lineage: Eukaryota; Metazoa; Chordata; Mammalia; Primates; Hominidae
Description: HSALNT0392299
Source: RNAcentral
GCAGGCGGCGCUGCAGGAGAGGAGAUGCCCAGGCCUGGCGGCCGGCGCACGUGGGUUCUCUGUGGCCAGCAGGCGGCGCUGCAGGAGAGGAGAUGCCCAGGCCUGGCGGCCGGCACACGCGGGUUCUCUGUGGCCAGCAGGCGGCGCUGCAGGAGCGCUCAGAAGCAGGGGCCUGGGCCUGCUCCGGGGGAAUCCGCCCACCCCACCGCGGCGGCCUCUCCUGAGGUUCCCUAGUGGCCGCGAAGGGUGGGCUCAGGGUGAGGGGUCAGGCCACAUCAGUGGGUGCAGGGAUGGCUGCGGCCACGGGAGGGCGUCCAGGGAGGAGGCCGGAGCUCAGGCCCACUCUGCACACCCAGCCCGCCACCUCCCCCGGCUCUCUCUUCCUUCGUGCACAUUCUGGGGCUUGUGCUUCUGCUGUGGUCCCAUUUAGCCAACCUGGCCAGCCUCUCAUGCCUGCUUCAUGGGUGAGACGUGGAGGCCAGGUCAGCCACAGACCCCGGGGCACACGCCGCAGCCAGCACAGCAGGUGGGCGUCUGCGGCCGGGGCCAGCGCAGGGCCCACUGGGCCUCGGAGGGGCCUCCCUGCCGACUCUGCCCCCGUCCUGUGGCCGUAAGUCCACCCAGAGCGCUCGAUCUUCCGUCCACCAGGCCAGGGAUGCGCGCAGAGACAGGCCAAGUGAACCAGGGCGAGCUCUUCUCUCCCUCUGACGGCCCCUCCACAGGAGAGGGACCUGGGACCAAGGUUCCUUCAGCCAUCAGACCCUAAGUCUCAGGGCACAGGGUCAGAAAGCUUCUAAGGACCCAUGAAAAUAUAGAAACUGGGUGAAAUUAACUCUUAUUGGCCCGACAUAUGAAAAGAAAAUUGCUUUUGAGCUUCCAGGAGAUCUUCUCAGGUUUUGUUUUGGGGAUUUCCUGGGAAGGGCAUGUUUCCAAACAAGACUCUUGCCGUCUGCUCCCCCGGAGCUCCCCAACCAGCCAGGAGAGGCCACUGGCAGGGAAGAAGGUCCAGCCCAGCACAGACUCCCCAGGGAGGGCCCCAGCCCAGUGGAAGGACCAUGGAAACCAUGUCAGUCUCCCUCAGCGGCUGCCCUGGGUUGACAUGUCCCCUUAGGGAUCUCAGGCUCUCAACCCUCUAGUCAAUUCUGAGCUGAGUUUUUCUGGAGCUUUAUAUUCAACUCUGACUUUGCUUCCCUUCACCUCUACUCCCCACCCUAGAAAUAGAAACCUGAGGUCAGGAAGUGCUGAGGGUCCUUGGGUUUGGUGUCGGGGAAGACACCGUGCUGACUCGAACCCACUAGGCCUGGAGCCCAAAAGUCCCUUCUCUGUGACCUGCGACAAGCCUCUACAGCCACGUCUCCUUCCCUGUGGUAACCGAGUGACACCAAUUGGCUCCCAGCCACCGCUGGGCCUCAGGCAGUUGCAGUGGCUUCGGCACUGGCUUUGCUGAGCCAGUGACAGCGACGGCACCUCCUGGAUGUGAAAUGUGCCAACACCCUGGCCUCGGGGACCGUACGGCGUGGUGUGAAAUUUCUGUUUUAACGCUCCAUGACCACAUAGGUCUUGGCUUUUUAUGAGUAAAGCAGAGACCGUGUUGUACCCAAGCUCUCUGGGUGGCACCCACAGCUUCCUCAGCGGGGUAACGGUGACGGGUGGACAACUGGCCCACAGGCAAACUGCACGUCCCCCACGGCGAGCAUCUCUGAGCUGCACUGACCAGUUCAGGCCCAUGCGUCACCGGCAUUUUUCUGAGCCAGCUCCUCUGGUUCAUGAGAAGGUCUGAAUUCAAGAAAUGAACGCCCAGCAAUUAGCAAUGUCCACAGAAUCAAAGGAGCAUGGUUUUAGUUGUCCUCCCAGGCAGCUUUGCCAGUCCGGGUAUGAGGUAAAGCCAGAGGGACCCUGCCUCACCCACGCGCCCCAAGAGGGGUCCAAGGACCACCGACUGUCCCCACUUCCCUGGAACUGAGGAUGAGGCUGAUUCAUGUGUUUCCUGUGACGGCCACGACAUCAUCAUAUCCGCUCGGAGAACUAUUUUUAACUGAUUUAUGUAUUUCUUGUAUGAGGAAGACACCAACUUCUCCUUUAGUCAGUUUUACAGGAAAGUAC